CAGGGGAUUGUGGGAGGCAGAGGGGAUUGUGGGAGUCACUGAAGACUGAGGGAGGCGCAGAGGGCCACUCGAUGCCACGCCCCCGGCACAGAGAAUUGUGGGAGGCACAGGGGAUCCUGGGAGGCAUGGGGGAUUGUGGGAGUUACACAGGGCUGAGCACCUGCUGAGGAAUGUGGCAGCCCUUCGAUGUCUACUUGCACUUCAAUAUGGACUAAUUGGUCAUAGUUGCGGCAGUGAAACAGAAAUGCGAAAAGACCAGGCAGCAAAUCUGCCCAUUGCUUUCUGAGCCACAGAACUGAGGGCCCAUGUGAGGACGUGCCAUGGAAGUACGUGGUGAGAGAGUGCUGGAGACAGCUUGACAUGCUCCCCGCAGCCGUGUGCACACAGAGGCUGGAUACCCC
RNAcentral lists this long non-coding RNA (401 nucleotides) under Equus caballus (horse). RNAcentral's name for it is "lncRNA (ENSECAG00000056105.1)". The record is from RNAcentral. Lineage: Eukaryota; Metazoa; Chordata; Mammalia; Perissodactyla; Equidae.